UGCAGUCGAACGAUGAAGCCUUCGGGUGGAUUAGUGGCGAACGGGUGAGUAACACGUGGGAAAUCUGCCCUGCACUCUGGGACAAGCCUUGGAAACGAGGUCUAAUACCGGAUAUUACCUGUCCUCGCAUGGGGAUGGGUGGAAAGCUCCGGCGGUGCAGGAUGAUCCCGCGGCCUAUCAGCUUGUUGGUGGGGUAAUGGCCUACCAAGGCGACGACGGGUAGCCGGCCUGAGAGGGCGACCGGCCACACUGGGACUGAGACACGGCCCAGACUCCUACGGGAGGCAGCAGUGGGGAAUAUUGCACAAUGGGCGAAAGCCUGAUGCAGCGACGCCGCGUGAGGGAUGAAGGCCUUCGGGUCGUAAACCUCUUUCAGCAGGGAAGAAGCGCAAGUGACGGUACCUGCAGAAGAAGCACCGGCUAACUACGUGCCAGCAGCCGCGGUAAUACGUAGGGUGCGAGCGUUGUCCGGAAUUAUUGGGCGUAAAGAGCUCGUAGGCGGCUUGUCGCGUCGGAUGUGAAAGCCCGGGGCUUAACCCCGGGUCUGCAUUCGAUACGGGCAGGCUAGAGUGUGGUAGGGGAGAUCGGAAUUCCUGGUGUAGCGGUGAAAUGCGCAGAUAUCAGGAGGAACACCGGUGGCGAAGGCGGAUCUCUGGGCCAUUACUGACGCUGAGGAGCGAAAGCGUGGGGAGCGAACAGGAUUAGAUACCCUGGUAGUCCACGCCGUAAACGGUGGGAACUAGGUGUUGGCGACAUUCCACGUCGUCGGUGCCGCAGCUAACGCAUUAAGUUCCCCGCCUGGGGAGUACGGCCGCAAGGCUAAAACUCAAAGGAAUUGACGGGGGCCCGCACAAGCAGCGGAGCAUGUGGCUUAAUUCGACGCAACGCGAAGAACCUUACCAAGGCUUGACAUAUACCGGAAACGGCUAGAGAUAGUCGCCCCCUUGUGGUCGGUAUACAGGUGGUGCAUGGUUGUCGUCAGCUCGUGUCGUGAGAUGUUGGGUUAAGUCCCGCAACGAGCGCAACCCUUGUUCUGUGUUGCCAGCAUGCCUUUCGGGGUGAUGGGGACUCACAGGAGACUGCCGGGGUCAACUCGGAGGAAGGUGGGGACGACGUCAAAUCAUCAUGCCCCUUAUGUCUUGGGCUGCACACGUGCUACAAUGGUCGGUACAAAGGGCUGCGAUGCCGCGAGGCGGAGCGAAUCCCAAAAAGCCGGCCUCAGUUCGGAUUGGGGUCUGCAACUCGACCCCA
RNAcentral lists this ribosomal RNA (1251 nucleotides) under Streptomyces sp. RNAcentral's name for it is "bacterial SSU rRNA". It matches the Rfam family "Bacterial small subunit ribosomal RNA", at positions 56 to 1320 of the family's 1533-position model. Lineage: Bacteria; Bacillati; Actinomycetota; Actinomycetes; Kitasatosporales; Streptomycetaceae. The record is from RNAcentral.